UGGGGAAUAUUGGACAAUGGGGGGAACCCUGAUCCAGCCAUGCCGCGUGUGUGAAGAAGGCCUUAUGGUUGUAAAGCACUUUAAGCGAGGAGGAGGGUACUGGUAUUAAUACUACCAGCUACUGGACGUUACUCGCAGAAUAAGCACCGGCUAACUCUGUGCCAGCAGCCGCGGUAAUACAGAGGGUGCGAGCGUUAAUCGGAUUUACUGGGCGUAAAGCGUGCGUAGGCGGCUAAUUGAGUCGGAUGUGAAAUCCCCGAGCUUAACUUGGGAAUUGCAUUCGAUACUGGUUAGCUAGGGUGUGGGAGAGGAUGGUAGAAUUCCAGGUGUAGCGGUGAAAUGCGUAGAGAUCUGGAGGAAUACCGAUGGCGAAGGCAGCCAUCUGGCCUAACACUGACGCUGAGGUACGAAAGCAUGGGGAGCAAACAGG
Molecule: ribosomal RNA, 430 nt
Filed under: Pseudomonadota bacterium
Lineage: Bacteria; Pseudomonadati; Pseudomonadota
Description: Proteobacteria bacterium partial 16S ribosomal RNA
Rfam family: Bacterial small subunit ribosomal RNA
Source: RNAcentral